AUUGAACGCUGGCGGCAGGCCUAACACAUGCAAGUCGAGCGGAUGAAGGGAGCUUGCUCCUGGUUUCAGCGGCGGACGGGUGAGUAAUGCCUAGGAAUCUGCCUGGUAGUGGGGGAUAACGUCCGGAAACGGGCGCUAAUACCGCAUACGUCCUGAGGGAGAAAGUGGGGGAUCUUCGGACCUCACGCUAUCAGAUGAGCCUAGGUCGGAUUAGCUAGUUGGUGGGGUAAAGGCCUACCAAGGCGACGAUCCGUAACUGGUCUGAGAGGAUGAUCAGUCACACUGGAACUGAGACAAGGUCCAGACUCCUACGGGAGGCAGCAGUGGGGAAUAUUGGACAAUGGGCGAAAGCCUGAACCAGCCAUGCCGCGUGUGUGAAGAAGGUCUUCGGAUUGUAAAGCACUUUAAGUUGGGAGGAAGGGAAGUAAGUUAAUACCUUGCUGUUUUGACGUUACCAACAGAAUAAGCACCGGCUAACUUCGUG
This 484-nucleotide ribosomal RNA is filed under the name uncultured bacterium. RNAcentral's name for it is "partial 16S ribosomal RNA". It matches the Rfam family "Bacterial small subunit ribosomal RNA", at positions 30 to 507 of the family's 1533-position model. The record is from RNAcentral.